Molecule: ribosomal RNA, 397 nt
Filed under: uncultured bacterium
Lineage: Bacteria
Description: partial 16S ribosomal RNA
Rfam family: Bacterial small subunit ribosomal RNA
Source: RNAcentral
AUACGUAGGGGGCGAGCGUUGUCCGGAAUGACUGGGCGUAAAGGGCGCGUAGGCGGCCGAUUAAGUCUGGAGUGAAAGUCCUGCUUUCAAGGUGGGAAUUGCUUUGGAUACUGCCGCGCUUGAGUGCAGGAGAGGUUAUCGGAAUUCCCGGUGUAGCGGUGAAAUGCGUAGAGAUCGGGAGGAACACCAGUGGCGAAGGCGGGUAACUGGACUGCAACUGACGCUGAGGCGCGAAAGUGUGGGGAGCAAACAGGAUUAGAUACCCUGGUAGUCCACACUGUAAACGAUGAAUGCUAGGUGUAAGAGGUAUCGACCCCUUUUGUGCCGGAGUCAACACAAUAAGCAUCCCGCCUGGGGAGUACGGCCGCAAGGUUGAAACUCAAAUGAAUUGACGGGG